UGGUUCUGGCAUCGAUGAAGAACGCAGCGAAAUGCGAUAAGUAAUGUGAAUUGCAGAAUUCAGUGAAUCAUCGAAUCUUUGAACGCACAUUGCGCCCUUUGGUAUUCCGAAGGGCAUGCCUGUUCGAGCGUCAUUUCACCACUCAAGCCUGGCUUGGUAUUGGGCGUCGCGGGCCACCGCGCGCCUUGAAGUCCUUUCGGCUGAGCGACCCGUCUCUAAGCGUUGUGGCAACUAUUCGCGGUGAGUGCGGGUGGCGGCGGCCGUGAAAUCUUUCACAAGGUUGACCUCGGAUCAGGUAGGGAUACCCGCUGA
Molecule: unclassified non-coding RNA, 312 nt
Filed under: uncultured fungus
Lineage: Eukaryota; Fungi
Description: partial contains 5.8S ribosomal RNA and internal transcribed spacer 2
Rfam family: 5.8S ribosomal RNA (bases 1-133)
Source: RNAcentral